This 904-nucleotide long non-coding RNA is filed under the name Triticum aestivum (bread wheat). RNAcentral describes it as "long non-coding RNA (TAES_LNC010602)". Lineage: Eukaryota; Viridiplantae; Streptophyta; Magnoliopsida; Poales; Poaceae. The record is from RNAcentral.
GGAGCAAGUUGAAGAGAUUAGUUUCGUGAAAAUAAAUGUGAUCUUUUGGUCAGGAUUUUGCAUGAUCCAUAGCCAUCGGUGGCAACAGGCGAGCAGUUCAAGGCCUACUGCGUGAGUCAUCCAUUGUCUUCUAUGCGUGAGCUUGUUGUCUCUACACAUAUAGCAUCAGAGUAUCUCCUCCCCUUGCCGCACACACAUGACGGACGGUCAAGCUAGUGUUGUUUGCGAUUACUGGUCAUGACUCUUACAUUGUCAUUGGACAAAGAAUUUCAUUUUCCUUAACACUCGGUAAGGAAAAUGAUCGUUCAACUUGAAUUAUGUUUUGGACUGAUUGUUAAGUUCUUUCGUAUAGAAGAUUCAAAAAGUUUUGUUCCUGAAAAUGCACUUAUUUGGAGUAUGCCAAUAUAUAUGUAUUUCUGAAUUUUGCUCUUGAAUAACAGUUCAACAUGUAUUACGCCAUCAAUUCAUAAUGGAAAGGUAGCAAACAGUUUGAUACUUGUGUGUUAAAAACGUAACAGUAUAGAGAAACUUUCGUAGUGGUUCGAUGGAAUAAAUUGCAUCAGUACUGACUUGGAUCCGUUCUUGCCUAUAAUGCAUUGAAAAAUCAAUUUUUUGCCUUCGUUAAGGCUUGAGAAGCAUGUCUCUCAUUUAUAAUACGCUUUGGCAUUUGGUCGAUGAUAUUUAUUGCAUCCUUCAUCGCUGAUCUUGAGGAGGAGAUUCAUUUGUGCAUUUCUAUAUUCGUUGUGUAAAUCUGUUAAUUUUUUAUGUUUUAGGGAAUUCGGGAGAGUGGAGACCUGGAAGAGGACUUUCAGGCAUUAUUGGCCAUGACAAUAAAUGACCAAGAAGAGCACUUUCAAUAGUCAAGGAAGACAACAACAACAACAACAACAACAACAACAACAAC